Molecule: ribosomal RNA, 380 nt
Filed under: uncultured organism
Description: partial 16S ribosomal RNA
Rfam family: Bacterial small subunit ribosomal RNA
Source: RNAcentral
GGGGGGGGGGGGCAAGGCGUUGUUCGGGAAUUACUGGGGCGUAAAGGGCGCGUAGGCGGCCCGGGCCAGUCCCUUGUGAAAUCCCACAGCUCAACUGUGGAACUGCAGGGGAUACUGCCAGGCUUGAGUCCGGGAGAGGGAGUGGAAUUCCCAGUGUAGCGGUGAAAUGCGUAGAUAUUGGGAGGAACACCGGUGGCGAAGGCGGCUCCCUGGACCGGUACUGACGCUGAGGCGCGAAAGCUAGGGGAGCAAACGGGAUUAGAUACCCCGGUAGUCCUAGCUGUAAACGUUGAGCACUUGGUGUGGCGGGUAUCGACCCCUGCUGUGCCGAAGCUAAACGCAUUAAGUGCUCCGCCUGGGGAGUACGGUCGCAAAGGCUG